Non-coding RNA from Podarcis lilfordi (Lilford's wall lizard), 69 nucleotides. The record is from the annotation of a GenBank genome assembly. Lineage: Eukaryota; Metazoa; Chordata; Lepidosauria; Squamata; Lacertidae.
GCCAUAGCUCAGUGGAAAAGCAUCUGCUUUGCAUGCAGAAGGUUUCAAGUUCAAUCCCUGGUAUCUCCA